Molecule: long non-coding RNA, 1892 nt
Organism: Dermacentor andersoni
Lineage: Eukaryota; Metazoa; Arthropoda; Arachnida; Ixodida; Ixodidae
Source: RefSeq, a predicted model, not a curated record
AGACAAGAGAAUGUUUAAAGCCAACACCCAGACUAAAUGCCAUCACAGUUCCCACACUUUGCCAUGAAAUUGUUGUUGUCAUUCAAUAGCCUUUACCACAGCUGCACCCUCGCCGAGCAAAUGGGUUCGGCGAUUGUAUAGGCGCAGCUAUUGAAUAGGGACAAUAGUAAAUUGCUCUGCUAGCGGUAGUUUGAGGGCGACAGUAGUUGGGUUGAAAAUGACUUGUCUACCGCAUGCACAAAAUUCCUCGGUUGUGAAUAUAUCUUGCUCAUUACCCGUCAAACUGCUGUUCUAAGCAACUGUAGUAAGACAAAGACCGACAUCAGAUUAUAACAACGACAACUCACGGUGCUGUCCACCAAAGGGGAGUCGUUAUAUUUGUUCUUCCGUUUGAGUUUUUAUCGGCCCCACUCGCUCACCCGCUCUUAAAAAAAAAAGAAAAAAAAAAGAGAACUGGAUUCGCUUCGGUUGCACAUUCACGACACCACGCAAAGAAAUACUUUUCGUACUUGGAAACUUGAGGUUUUCGGGUAAUUCUGUGCAUGUGAAAUUUCGUGGUAUCGCCUAUACGUUUAGAAAGCUAUUAUGCAAGUACUUCUACAUCUGUCGUUCGUCCAAGCUAUUUAAAAUUUGCGUGAGCAAACCAGUUAAGAAAUAUGAGCAUUGUAAACUUUUUAAAAAGGCCAAUUAAAGCUUUUUUUCUCUCUUUCUCUUUCUCUGUGCAUAAAAGAAAAGACAGACUCGCAAGUACCUCUGCAUCCUAUGUGAUCAGGAAGGGCCACGUCUCUUUACAAAUGAACGUCCAAGCAAAAAAAAAAUAUAUAUAUAUAGAAAAUUAAUUCACUUACAUGCACUUACCAGCCCACCUUUGCCAUUCCAUUUCAUUUGAUAUCAGCCAAUGUUUUUGCGAAUAAAUUUCCAUUGAACCUACCCGUAAACACAGGAAAUGGCUUAGAGGUAGCGUAAAAUAAAUAGCUUGGAAAGUAAUAUACACACGUAGUUUUAAAAAAAUAUUUGUAUUUAUGCCUUGAAAACGAAACCGAAAUUGAAAUAACUUCCCCCGACGGGUGUCGCUGCUAUCGCCGCUACGUCAUUUCCUGCGUCUCGCGGCGGGCCGGCGGGUGCAUGUGUGUUUGGUGUGUUCUCCGUGACAUUCUUGAAGUUGUGAGUAAUUCGAUUGUUUUUUGCUGCGUUUAGAUUGUACUACCUCGUUGUUUUCGUGUACUUUUGCGCUCAUCGACGUGAAGUGAGCGUCCGGAGUGAAGGCGACGCGAUUAUGCGUGAGAAAGAAAGGCAGCAGCGGCCUACGACAUCGGUGUUUCUUUGUGACAGUGUGUUUACUAUGCCUACGACGGCCGUCAUUCGUGGCGAAAGAGAAAACAUCUUCCAUUCGGCCUGAACAGUGAUGAAGUGGACGUUCGGCGGAAUGCGUCGUCAACAUGGUCCAUCCACUACGUAAACCAAACGGCGUGCCCAGAGUACACAUCGUGACAGCGCUCCACCUUCAAACCGAGGGCCUUUUGCAAGGCGCAUGGACUGCUCAUAUAAAAGUUACAGUCAACAUGAAGCAAUUGCAUGGGAACCGACUGGCUGUCUUGGGCCUACACAUUGCUGAAAAGACUGUGAAGACAUCUGAGCUGACAGGUAGAAAACAAGCAGAUGGCUACAGCGAUCAAGGAAGAAAUGGUUUCAUCUAUGAUGGCUCGCCUUAGGACAUUGGAAUGGAGCUACACAAAGGCAUCACCAGCCUCGCCUGUGCCCUGGAACAUUGGUUUGAAUAAGACUGUUCUUCAGUGUAGAACGACCACAAGACUUGUCACCACAUACAAGGCAUAGUGCAAGCUCUAAAUAUUGUACAGGUGGCUAGAAUAAAUGACCCUCCAUGCAGUCAC